This is a long non-coding RNA of Candoia aspera, 399 nucleotides long. RefSeq lists it as uncharacterized. The record is from RefSeq and is a predicted model, not a curated record. The transcript is spliced from 2 exons. NCBI's taxonomy places the organism in Eukaryota, Metazoa, Chordata, Lepidosauria, Squamata, Candoiidae.
AUUUUCCAGAGGGAUGUGGGGAGAUCUAGAUUUCCAAACUAGUCAGCUUCUGCACCAGGUACUGCCAUACUUGUCUUAGCCAUAAAUAUACAAAUUAUGCUGCCUGAACUGUGGAAUGGAGCCCCUAGAGGAAACAUACAAAAUCUGCUACUAACAUCAAGUGAGAAUUGAUGGGUAAUUUAUACUUUAAUAGAAAAAUCUGGGGCUAAACUAUGUUUAUUCAGCAAUAUUCCCUGAACUAUCACAAUAAAUAUUCCAAAUUACAAUUUUACCGCCAUCCUUAUUGUGUUUUUAUCUAACAACAUACCUGCGCCUUUUGCGAUCUUCAAUUAGUUUAAUUCUGCGCCCAUUCAACUCACUGCCAUCCAGCUUAUCCAAGGCACUCUUCAUGUCACUGGA